Pelobates cultripes (western spadefoot toad) is the source of this 211-nucleotide non-coding RNA. The record is from the annotation of a GenBank genome assembly. Lineage: Eukaryota; Metazoa; Chordata; Amphibia; Anura; Pelobatidae.
UUAAAGGGACACUCCAGGCACCCACACCACUUCUGCCCAUUGGAAUGGUCUGGGUGCCAACUCCCACUACUCUUAACCCUGCAACUGUAAUUAUUGCAGUUUUUAAUAAAUAAUAAUAAAUAAUUAGAUUGCAGGGUUAACUCCACCUCUAGUGGCUGUCUACGAGACGGCCACUAGGGGGCACUUCCUUGUCCACAGCACAGAAAACCUG